Oncorhynchus mykiss (rainbow trout) is the source of this 3150-nucleotide non-coding RNA. The record is from RefSeq and is a predicted model, not a curated record. NCBI's taxonomy places the organism in Eukaryota, Metazoa, Chordata, Actinopteri, Salmoniformes, Salmonidae.
UUUCAGCCCUUUCCUGGGUAGCUUAUCAGAGUGGAAAAGAACAAACAAAACAAGAGAAAAAUAUACAUUCAGCAGUCCAUUAAUCAGUUGGUGUGUGUGUGUGUGUGUCCCAGCUGUCUUAUCUCCUCCUACCCCACUGCUCCCAGUGAGUGUCUCGCCUUCUACUGCCCAGCAACCAGCAGGUAGUUCCUACUCAGGUACAUCUUCAUCUGCUUAGCUGCCAUUCUCCCUAUAUAGCCUUUUGGAGUGGUCCUGUUUACAGAUAUGUUAGUAUCUUCAGACAUAAUAUAGCAGAAAUGAUUACAGUUACAUGGAAUGUGUUUGUUAUGUCUGCUAUGCUCGUCCUCUUCGGAGCCCUCUGUGCUGCAACAGAUGAGUUCACGCUUCCUGGCCUUCCAGGUUUCUGGCCAGACCAUCCUCUACCUGUCCACUGAGGUCCACGAACACCAACAUCAGCACACAGAAAUGUACAGAGAAGUUAAAUUAAAGCUGCUCUUUAAUUGUUUGUUAUUCUUCUUACUUUAAUGUAUUUUCUUAACUGCAUUGUUGGUUAAGGGCUUGUAAGUAGGCAUUUCACUAAGGUCUACCUACACCUGUUGUGUUCGGCGCAUGUGACAAAUAACAUUUGAUUUGAAGUACUACUGUUUUAUAUCAAUUAUGUUGAUGAAGCCUGUACAAAUCUAAUGAAUGUUAUUUUUAUUUUGUCAAAUUCUCAACUAAUGUGGAUCCCUUCUACAGACACAAUGUAAGUCUCUCUCAUAUACUGCUUUUCUAUACUCUAUAGCUGACCCAUCCACAUGUGAUGCCAGGGUUGGCCCCCAUGGCACCCAGGACCCUUCUGCUCCCUGCAGGGGGCCUUCCAGCCUUCCAAGGUACCAGUGGAAAAGAGAGUAAUGGGAACUAGGAAGUUGGGACAGAGGCAAAAUAUAUAGUAUUUAGAUAUCAUCAAGUUAUGGUGUCAUGAGUUAGUAGUGUGUGAUCAGAAGUCUACAUUUCCUUGUCUUUGUCAGACAUCAAAUGUUCUAGACAUGGCACCAGGACCUAGGACUAGGUCUGGGUCACACAAACACCUACUUGUGUGAGAAGAAUCCCAAGAGUACCCUUUAGAUCAUUUUAAUUUGUAUCGCCAAAAUGUUCUCAUUUGAAAAGUGUUUUGAGUUCUGUUUCUAUUUCGACCUACUGAACUGGAUAUUCUCUCAGAGACCAGGAAGAUGGCAUACAAUGCAUGUCCGCAAUGCUUAGCAGAUCCACCACCAUAAACUGCGGGUGAAGGUAUGAAAAUGUAUUGAACAUCCACUAAAAUGUGUAUAAAAUCCCAAAAUUAUGAUUUGUAUCGAAGCCACACAUAACUGGCACUAUAUGUCUGUCUGUCCUCCCAUUUCUCAGCAGAAAAUGCAAGUGGACUCACAAGCAAUCAACUUCGGUAUCAAGCCGGAGUUUCUGACUCAGCCUGCUGGUCCUGACCUGAUUCAAGCCAUCCACCGUCAACGGGACCUUAUUUAGUCCUCCACCCCAUUCUCUAACCAAGUCACACAGUACACAUCCUUCAUUUGGAGUUUUGGGGACAAUGAGUGCCACAGCCUUUGGUGGAAUGGCAAUCCUAGCACUAAGUGAGUAGCACAUUCAGUCUCCCUUCAGCAUUGGUUCAGUAUUAUGACAAUAUAAUCAUAAAGGAGGGAAUUGCCUUUUGAAACUCACAUUUCUUUGACUUGCUUAUUCUUCCUCUUCUUAAAAACAGAUGAUGAUCCCAUGAUCUAUCAAAGACAAUCUAAAUGCACCAAAUGGAGAAGUAGGACGAACUCCUGAGUGGUGGAGCAGGCAGCAGAAGACACCCCUGUCCUCUGAAUGACAACCUGAACGAUUCAAGCAGGAAACCUCAGGACAGGGAAUGGGGAAAGCAGCUGCACCUACCCAGAGAGAAGAUCGAGGAGAAACAGUACAUAGUGGAGAAACAUCAAGGCCACAAUGUUGCAGGGACUCUUGACAUUUCACGGGGCUAAAGAGAAGUCUGUUCCUCAGACAAUGACCUUGAAACCUGAUCAGCGGUCCAAUGGCAGACGUAGCUGGGAGUCAGGAAGAGAGGGCUUGAGUGUGAAAACCACAUAAAGGCCAAGAAGAUGAAGCGGCAGAGAGGAUGACCAGGAUUUCAAUGAUGGCCCUCAAACCCAGAACCCCACAGAGAAACCAUCUCUGACCCCUCCAAUACACACUCCAUCCUCCAUGUUGAUGCAGCACAUGACCAUAGGAAACAUUAUUCCAGUACUCUACCCAGUAAAUAGCUUAUGUAAACUGGCCCGGACUCAUGUUGGCACUCCUGUUAUUCAGCUCAUCCCCUACUCAGGAGCUGAGAGGUACCCUUACCCUGCACUUCCCUGGGACCCCCCCUAAGAGACCCACUAUGGGAUGUAUACAGAGGUAUGGACCUCCCCGUCUCCUCCCGUCAAGAGCUGAGCAUGAGGGCUGAUCCUCCACGUGGUGUAGUGGGGGCCAGGCUGUUGAAGGCAGCAGACUGGUCAUACAGAGACACUCAUCACGGCUUUCCGCACCCACCCCAUCACCCCUCACUGGCCCUGAAGCAGCAGGAGAGGGCUUACCUCAUGGAGAGAGCGUCUGACUAUGCUCAGAGAGGAAUACUACCAGCACAGCCUCCGUUCUGCCACCAUGGGAGGCCAUCUCCCCCAUCCCAGCCUCCUGACCUCCACCUAUUCCACGUGACACAUAUUUCCAUGGUGGGUCUCACACAGAGCCCCCAGAGUAGCCUCCCCAACAGAACUCUUCCCCCUGGGUCCUUAAGCACACUGGUGCCUCUGGUCCCCUUCUCUCUCCCAUUGUCUGGCGCGUCCCACAGGACUACCUCGUAAUGACAGAAAUCAGAAGACGCUAUUCUGUGAGCUUGCUUGCCUUAGAACUGUAACUCUGCAAGGUACUGCUUCAAGACAAAUUCUGUGAUUCUGAUUAUUACCUGUAUGACACAGAUAUAGGACAAACUACUGUGUUGAAAAACGAUUUUACAUCCCUUAAAACACCUGUAAAUUGAUGAACAAUGAUUUUGUUCAACAUAAAAGUGCAAAUUCGUUCAUAAAAUGUUAACUCAUGAGUUAGUCUGGUUACUGUUCCUAAAAUGGACAUACAAAAAUAUAACUGACAAAA